GGGGAAGGAGGCACUGGACUGGCGAUCCAGUUGUGGAGAAAAUAGCAGAAAACAUCAGCUUUCUAGGGGUGGUCAAUGAUGCCCAAAAAAAAGACUUUACCCAAGCGGCUGUAAGAUAUUACACUUCCGUAGUGAAUCGUGCUCAAAUUGAAGAAUUCAAAGAAGGGCUCGAAACAUUUGGAAUUGCAACAUUGAUAAGAAAACAUCCAGAUGUGAUGAAGUUGCUUUUGUGUGGCCAGAAAAGAGCAACAAUACAGCAUGAUGAAGUAUAUGACAUGUUUGAGGCAGAGCUGUCAGAAGUGGGGUCAAAUCAAAGGGAUUUGGAGGAAGAGGCAAUGAUGCAUUUCAGGCUGUUUUUAAGCAGCUUGACAAACCUAAAUGCAGCAUGUUCCUUGGAGGAUCUACUGAGGUUCCUAACUGGAGCAAAACAGUUUCCCAUUGGUGAAUAUGAGAUUCAGCCAACUAUAGAAUUCAUUAGAGGUUCACAAUUCCCAACUGUAAGCACCUGUGGUCUUGUUUUGAGGCUGCCAAUCGGCUUGACAGAAGAACAAUUCAAAACUAAUUUUGAAUUUGCUGUCCGAAGCUGCCAUGACUUUUCCUUUGUUUAGUGUUACCAGUGUGACUGUUGACAUUGAUGUCCAGGACAGAGAGGGCCAUAUCCACAAUCUGUUUUAAAAAGACUACACUUAAAUGUUUAAGUAUAGAACCAUGUACAUUGUCAUUCCCCAUGACUUUUAGGCCACUCAUUGAAGCAAUGUAUUUGAUAAAGAAACAAUGUGCAUACUUUAGAUCCAGGAUAAAUCCACUUCAAUUCUGAAUGUUGUGAAAACCAGGCAGCUCAUAAAUGGCACUUUGAUAAUUAGCAGGAUAAAUAUAACAAUUAAAGUACUGUUUGUUUCAAAUGAGUGGAUUGGAAAGGUAUGUUUAGUAGCCUGACAUCAGAUCAUUAAUCCAAUCUGGUUGUUUUUUUCUUUUGUCAAAAUAGUUUAUAAUAAAUUCAUCCAGAAAGGCGCAUCUGAAGAAGUUUAAAACAAUCAGAAUUGGCCAGUGCUGUUUCAGCGAUAAUAAAAUUGAGGUCUCUAAUCAAAAGAUGUGUAAAGUGUGGCUGCAUGUGUUUUCAGGGCGGGUAUGGGUACAAGGUUUUUUUCUUUAACCUUGUUCACAAUUGUUAUGUCAUUUGUUCAACUGUAGUGUUGUGGAUGUUAACCUUACCAAUGUAAAAAGUUGUCAGUGUUAAUGGGGGUGGGGCAAUUGUACCUUUGCUCUAAAAUGAUGCUGUUGGGUAAGAACUUAAGAUUUGACCUGUGCUGAUUACUGUUACUACUUGGUUUUGUAAUAUUACUGUAGGUAGGGUAGACCAACAAUGGCAAUCUGUCUCCUGUAUCAACAGGAUAUAAUAUAUAUUAUUAUUUUAUUAUUAUUAUUUAUUUCUUAACAGACGCCCUUAUCCAGGGCGACUUACAAUUGUUACAAGAUAUCACAUUAUUUUCUACAUUCAAUUACAUUAUUUUUUACAUACAAUUACCCAUUUAUACAGCUGGGUUUUUACUGGAGCAAUCUGGGUAAAGUACCUUGCUCAAGGGUACAGCAGCAGUGUCCUCCACCGGGGAUUGAACCCACAACCCUCCGGUCAAGAGUCCAGAGCCCUAACCACUACUCCACACUGCUGUGUUAGUAGAUUCUGACAUUUGCUGUAAAUGUUCAUCUUAACAAAUGACUGCUUAAGGUCAUUUAAU
This is a long non-coding RNA of Acipenser ruthenus (sterlet), 1736 nucleotides long. RefSeq lists it as uncharacterized. The transcript is spliced from 3 exons. Lineage: Eukaryota; Metazoa; Chordata; Actinopteri; Acipenseriformes; Acipenseridae. The record is from RefSeq and is a predicted model, not a curated record.